GACGAACGCUGGCGGCGCGCCUAACACAUGCAAGUCGAACGGAGAUAAGGAGGAGCUUGCUCCACCUUAUCUGAGUGGCGGACGGGUGAGUAACGCGUGAGUAACCUGCCUUAAAGAGGGGGAUAACGUCUGGAAACGGACGCUAAUACCGCAUAACGUACGGUCCUCACAUGGGGACUGUACCAAAGAUUUUAUCGCUGGAAGAUGAGCUCGCGGCCGAUUAGGUAGUUGGUGAGAUAACAGCCCACCAAGCCGACGAUCGGUAGCCGAACUGAGAGGUUGAUCGGCCACAUUGGGACUGAGACACGGCCCAG
Molecule: ribosomal RNA, 314 nt
Filed under: uncultured bacterium
Lineage: Bacteria
Description: bacterial SSU rRNA
Rfam family: Bacterial small subunit ribosomal RNA
Source: RNAcentral